UUCAAUUGGGCGAUGCUUUUAAUAAUAUUAUUCUGGCUCAGUUUCGCUGCCAUUGGAUCAGACAUGCAUGCGCGUAGAAAUUAUUUAAUUAUUUCGCGAGUAUAAAAUGCGUGGCGCCCAUUUUGAGCUCCACUCGAUCGCGUCCUUUGACCACUUCACACCGCAUCGGCACCUCAGAGCAAACUUGUCCCAACAUGCCACCGAAGGAAACCGACAUUCUGCAAAAGAAAAUGGAUACGGCCAGCUUCAAAAUCACCAUCACCUGGCUGCUGCAAUUAUCGCUCCUUGUCCUUAUGAUCGGGCUCAGCUUCUCUUUCUUUGGGGCGACGCCAGAUUCCUUUCAAAAACUUCAAUCGGCGACGUCUGUGCAGCGCCAGUUUGAUCAAUUUGGGAACAACAGCCGCAAAUUUCUUGAGAAACAAGCUCGGAACUCCACUGCUAUGAACAAUCAGCUGAAAAAAAUAUCCCGUUCGCAGAUGAUGGAACUGACAAGCGAGGCCUUCCUUGAUAUGCUGCACUUGAUCAAAUGGGUCGCCGUCGCUUCAGUGCUCAACCUAUUUUUUCUGGCAAUUCUUUCCUUAGCCCUGUCAACAAGGCAGAUUAGGGAAUUAUUAACCAAAAAAAUCCGUCGUGAAUCCGAUGAAUUUAACGAGACAUUAUUAUAAAGAGCUCAUUGAAUGAAAAUGAUCGUAGUAGUUGUUGCCCUGCCCGACCUCUGGAGCAGGAUAGAAAAUUUUUGAUCUUUGUUAGCUAGAAAGAAGAAUAAUCACGCAAAACUCGAGGAAGAAGAAAAUCAAAUGA
Molecule: long non-coding RNA, 801 nt
Organism: Neocloeon triangulifer
Lineage: Eukaryota; Metazoa; Arthropoda; Insecta; Ephemeroptera; Baetidae
Exons: 4
Source: RefSeq, a predicted model, not a curated record